RNAcentral lists this ribosomal RNA (816 nucleotides) under Amanita aporema. RNAcentral describes it as "eukaryotic LSU rRNA". It matches the Rfam family "Eukaryotic large subunit ribosomal RNA", at positions 108 to 903 of the family's 3401-position model. Lineage: Eukaryota; Fungi; Basidiomycota; Agaricomycetes; Agaricales; Amanitaceae. The record is from RNAcentral.
GUCAAAUUUAAAAUCUGGCAGUCUUUGGCUGUCUGAGUUGUAAUCUAGAGAAGUGUUGCCUGCAUUGGACCGUGUACAAGUCUUCUGGAAUGAAGCGUCAUAGAGGGUGAGAAUCCCGUCUUUGACAUGGACUCCCAAUGUAUUGUGGCAUGCUCUCAAAGAGUCGAGUUGUUUGGGAAUGCAGCUCUAAAUGGGUGGUAACCUCCAUCUAAAGCUAAAUAUUGGCAAGAGACCGAUAGUGAACAAGUACCGUGAGGGAAAGAUGAAAAGAACUUUGGAAAGAGAGUUAAACAGUACGUGAAAUUGUUGAAAGGGAAACACUUGAAGUCAGUUGCAUUGGCCAGGGAUCAGCCUAGCUCUUUUGCUUAGUGUACUUCCUGGUUGAUGGGCCAACAUGAGUUUUGACUGGCAGAGAAGGGCAGAGGGAAUGUGGCACCUCUGGGUGUGUUUAUAGCCUUCUGUCACAUAUGUCAGUUGGGACUGAGGGAUGCAGCAUGCCGCAAGGCCAGGUCAUUUUUGACCAUGUUCAUGCUUUGGAUGUUGGCAUAAUGGCUUUAAUUGACCCGUCUUGAAACACGGACCAAGGAGUCUAACAUACCUGCGAGUGUUUGGGUGGAAAACCCGGGUGCAUAAUGAAAGUGAAAGUUGAGAUCCCUGUCAUAGGGAGCAUCGACGCCCGGACCUGAGCUUUUAGCAAAGGAUCUGCGGUAGAGCAUGUAUGUUGGGACCCGAAAGAUGGUGAACUAUGCCUGAAUAGGGCGAAGCCAGAGGAAACUCUGGUGGAGGCUCGUAGCGAUUCUGACGUGCAAAUCGAUC